UCUCUGCUCCACCCCCCCUUCAAAACUCAAAUGCUCUCUCUCUCUCUCUAGGUUCUCUACUCUGCGAUGGCCGACGAGAUUAAUCAGUUUCCGGCCUCACCCAAGUUUUUCACUGAUUGGGUUUCGACUGCUUUGAGCAGUUCAGAGAGUUGGUUGAUGAUACCUGGAUUCCAGACAAUAACUACAGAUUACUAGAAUAAAAUUCCUCAUCAUUAUUGCUGGCAUGGAAGUAUCUUGUAGGACCAUGCAAGUGGUAUGCAAUGCACAGUGAAAUCUUAAUUGAUCCCCUACAUUUUCUUGAUAAUGCUCUAUUCAUGAAUGAUGUGGAUGGUGCCAUGUGAAUAUCUGGUACAAUUGUGGUGUUAUUUGUAGCGACGGUGAGACGAUUACGUCGUUUCUGAUGUGGGAAAAUGAUGUGAUGAUCUAUUGUCAUUUUCCCUGUUCCACCACUGGUACUUAAGCUUUGUAAUAGACAAGCACAUUCCAGUAGUCGUGUCAACCUUACAAAUUUCUGGUGGGGGGUUGAUUUUAAUUAGAAUGCCUGUUCUUGCUUUGCUUUCCCUUUUACGUGCAUUGUGCUACCGACAUAUUGUUUAUAAAUUAAUGCUUAGCUAGUAGUACAGAAAAUGCUUGUAGGUUUGCAUGACUGAUACCAGAGCCAUCAAACACAUCUUUUACGCCUUUCGAUCAGUUGUCCUUCUGGUGCCUGGCAUAAUGAACGAAACCACAAGUUUUCUGUACUAGUGAAUUUGAUAGGCUUUGCUGAAUACACUAUGCCAGUCACGCAAUUGGUGUUAGUUUGACCCUGUAUGACAGAAUUGGAAGCAUGCACAGAUGGGGUCGGUGAAGUUGAAGCCUUGAAGCGCAUAAAUUGGU
This is a long non-coding RNA of Rosa chinensis, 876 nucleotides long. RefSeq lists it as uncharacterized. Lineage: Eukaryota; Viridiplantae; Streptophyta; Magnoliopsida; Rosales; Rosaceae. The record is from RefSeq and is a predicted model, not a curated record. The transcript has 3 exons.